GUACGGGGGGGGCAAGCGUUGUUCGGAAUUACUGGGCGUAAAGGGCUCGUAGGCGGCCAACUAAGUCAGACGUGAAAUCCCUCGGCUUAACCGGGGAACUGCGUCCGAUACUGGAUGGCUUGAGGUUGGGAGAGGGAUGCGGAAUUCCAGGUGUAGCGGUGAAAUGCGUAGAUAUCUGGAGGAACACCGGUGGCGAAGGCGGCAUCCUGGACCAAUUCUGACGCUGAGGAGCGAAAAGCCAGGGGGAGCAAACGGG
This 256-nucleotide ribosomal RNA is filed under the name uncultured bacterium. RNAcentral describes it as "partial 16S ribosomal RNA". It matches the Rfam family "Bacterial small subunit ribosomal RNA", at positions 523 to 776 of the family's 1533-position model. The record is from RNAcentral.